UGGGGAAUAUUGGACAAUGGGGGAAACCCUGAUCCAGCAAUGCCGCGUGAGUGAAGAAGGCCUUAGGGUUGUAAAGCUCUUUCGCCCGCGAAGAUAAUGACGGUAGCGGGAGAAGAAGCCCCGGCUAACUCCGUGCCAGCAGCCGCGGUAAUACGGAGGGGGCUAGCGUUGUUCGGAAUUACUGGGCGUAAAGCGUACGUAGGCGGAUGCGCAAGUUGGGGGUGAAAUCCCGGGGCUUAACCUCGGAAUUGCCCUCAAAACUGCACGUCUUGAGACCGAGAGAGGUGAGGGGAAUUCCUAGUGUAGAGGUGAAAUUCGUAGAUAUUAGGAAGAACACCAGUGGCGAAGGCGCCUUACUGGCUCGGUACUGACGCUGAGGUACGAAAGCGUGGGGAGCAAACA
RNAcentral lists this ribosomal RNA (402 nucleotides) under uncultured bacterium. RNAcentral's name for it is "bacterial SSU rRNA". It matches the Rfam family "Bacterial small subunit ribosomal RNA", at positions 355 to 774 of the family's 1533-position model. The record is from RNAcentral.